RNAcentral lists this long non-coding RNA (1711 nucleotides) under Musa acuminata (dwarf banana). RNAcentral's name for it is "long non-coding RNA (MACU_LNC004870)". The record is from RNAcentral. Lineage: Eukaryota; Viridiplantae; Streptophyta; Magnoliopsida; Zingiberales; Musaceae.
UUGUAUCUUCUUCUUCUUGUUGCUGCUUCUGCUUGUAGUAGUACUACUCAAAUCGAUCCAGUCCAAGCUGCUGGUAGUGGUGGUGGAUGUCCUCCGGGUGGUCAUCAAUCUUUUGCCUCUCGGGCUGCGCCCAUCGCCCUUCCUGAGACCUCAUCAUGCCCUUGUUCUCGUCCUGCCUCCAGUUGGGCGGCACCAUGAGAUGCUCGUGUAGGAAGUCGCAGGACUUGUUCACCAGCGCCGGGUCUCGCCCGGUGGUCGGUGCAAACUUCCGACCCUUCCCCUGGAAUCUGCGAGCCCAAACCAGCAGGUGUUAGACCAAGACACGACUCUUGCAUUCAGGAGAAUAGCAGGGCGGGGGACCUCUAGCGAUGAGGGAUCGUACCCGUCCAAGAGAUGGAGAUGGGCUUCCAAAUUAUGGUAGUUGGAGGGGUCGAGGGAGUCCUUGAGGAAGGGCGAGUGCUUGUGGUCCAGAAGCAGCUCCACCCCGACGUGAACGUACCCGUCCAUCGCCCUCAGCAUGAACUCCGGCAUGUGCUCGUUGAUCAGCACGCCCGGCACCGUGGGCACCUUGUCGUGGACGUUCACCACCCGCAGCACCUUCAGCCCCAGCUUGUCGCACCGCUCCUUGAAGUGCUCGUUGCCCACCCUCGGCCCCCCGUAUGAGAACACCGCCAUCGGCACCUGCUUCCCGUCGGCCCCCUUGAUGAGCUCCAUCUCCGCGAUGUCGUACGCGUUCAGCGUCGCCAGCGCGCUGCCGAGGCUGUGCCCCGCCACCGUUAUGCUCACCUCCUCCCCGGCCUCGGUGUACUGGGCCACCAGCUUCCUCACCUCGGUCAGCACUUGCUCCCUAGCGGAGUACUUGCAGAACCGGCACGUCGAGUCCUUCUCGAUGUACAAGUCAACGAAGCCGGUCUCCACCUUGACCCGGGUGUCCGGGCAGGGGAUCCCCGCAGAUCUCACCGGCUGCAUCUUGGCCAUGAAGUCGUGGAUCCACUCCAGCCGCGUCACCGUCCCCCUCCACGCGAUCAGGAUGUCGCGGCGCCCCAGCCGGGCGGUGGUCUCGUCGUUGGACACCGAGACGUAGCCGAUCCAGUUGGCGCGCUCGCUCCACGUCCGGGAGCCCAUGACGGACUUGGCAAAGAACUUGGGCACCUUGACGUUGGAGGUGGCGUAGAGGUACCUGGUAACGUCGUAGCCGGCGCUUUCCAUGCCCAGGCUGUAGAAGAACUGGCGGCGGCUGUACUUGCAGCUGCCGCAGUAGCGGGAGAACUUGUCAUAGUCGAACGAGUCGUAGCAGGCCUGCACGAACUCGCCGUAGCGGAUGAGCUCCGUACGAAGGAGGGGGUCGAUCGGGUCCAGCAGGCCAGCCCAGUCGUCGCGGCCGUGGAUCACGCGCCACCGGUUGGCUAGACCGUCCUGCGGCUGGCGGGUAUCCACUUGCUCUGCUGUCUUCUGGAGCUCGAGGUCGGAGAUGAUCGCGGACAUGGAAUCUUCCCUGGCCGCCCUUGGUGGCUGAAUUCUCACUCCCCGGUUGAGGGUGCGCAGCACCGGCACCGGAGACGGCUUAACGAGGGAGAGGGACGGGAGAGGUGGACCGGGCUGAGAAGGGGAGCUGUGAAAGACGCCAGGGAACCAGACAGGGAGUGAAGACUGGGAAAUCGCCAUCGGAGGCGACGGCUUCGAGGGGCUCUGAGGGCGGGCUAUAGAAGGG